GAGAUUAAGCAUAGAUGGCGGGAGUACUUCGACAAGCUGUUCAAUGGGGAGAAUGAGAGUUCUACCAUUGAACUGAAUGACUCCUUUAAUGAGACCAGCAUGCGUUUUGUGCGGCGCAUCCAGGAGUCUGAGGUGAAGGAGGCUUUAAAAAGGAUGAAAGGAGGCAAGGCGAUGGGCCCUGAUUGUAUCCCCAUUGAGGUGUGGAAAGGUCUCGAGGACAUAGCGAUAGUAUGGCUAACCAAGCUUUUCAACCUCAUUUUUCGGGCAAACAAGAUGCCAGAAGAAUGGAGACGGAGUAUAUUAGUACCAAUCUUCAAGAACAAGGGGGAUGUUCAGAGUUGUACUAAUUACCGUGGAAUUAAGCUGAUGAGCCGUACAAUGAAGCUAUGGGAGAGAGUCAUUGAGCACCGCUGA
RNAcentral lists this ribosomal RNA (414 nucleotides) under Triticum aestivum (bread wheat). Its description in RNAcentral is "partial small subunit ribosomal RNA". The record is from RNAcentral. Lineage: Eukaryota; Viridiplantae; Streptophyta; Magnoliopsida; Poales; Poaceae.